UACGUAGGGGGCUAGCGUUGUCCGGAUUUAUUGGGCGUAAAGAGCUCGUAGGUGGUUCGGUAAGUCGGAUGUGAAAUCUCCAGGCUCAACCUGGAGGGGUCAUUCGAUACUGCCGUGACUAGAGUUCGGUAGAGGAGUGUGGAAUUCCUGGUGGAGCGGUGAAAUGCGCAGAGAUCAUGAGGAAGACCAGUGGCGAAGGCGGGUCUCUGGACAGUUCCUGACACUGAGACACGAAGGCCAGGGGAGCAAACGGG
RNAcentral lists this ribosomal RNA (254 nucleotides) under uncultured bacterium. RNAcentral describes it as "partial 16S ribosomal RNA". It matches the Rfam family "Bacterial small subunit ribosomal RNA", at positions 524 to 776 of the family's 1533-position model. The record is from RNAcentral.